CGAUGACUGCCAAGUCAUUAUCCUCGUGAUCUCGAUGACCACGAUCUUCUUCUCCGUUGAAUAACAAUUGGCGAUCGAAGAGAGGGAAAACCUGUCGGAUCUGGCCGUCGAGGAAGAAGCCGACGUUACUGGACGAGGCAUCGGGAUCCAUGGACAGAGUGACAAAUUCGAAAUCGUCAUCUUCGUUUUCGUGUGGUGGAAGAUCAUUGGAGACGGCGAGUGGUUCACGGGCGACUCUAGCGGCGGUAUCAGCGAGGUUAUCGGAUGAAUAACUGUUGAAACUGAGACAAAAGGAGGCCGUGGAACCGUUAUCCUCUUGCAUCUGAAAGAAUAUAAAAGGUGGAGUAGUGGAGUUUUUGAGGUAUGGCAGUGUGAGUUGUAUUAAUGGCGUUUAUAUAUAUAUAUACACACACACACACAUGUAUAUAUAGGGAAACUGAAUGGUUGAAUUUGUAUAGAUUGUAUUUCCUAUAGUGCUUAGAUGCGUCUCUUAUUGGCAGAUUCCACGCGCUUCGUUCAGGCGCGUAAGUCUUUUAUGCUAAAUCUUUAUUUCCUUAUUAUUGUUUUUUUCUUCUUCUAGGAAAUGGCCGACUCACAUAGAGCAGAGGAAUUAUUAUCUGCAAUUUAAUAUUAAAAUAUAAAAUAAUAAAAAAAUUAAUUCAUUAAUUGUUUAUUUCUCUACCAAUCUAUUCUUCUCAUGUUUACUGUCUUUACU
RNAcentral lists this long non-coding RNA (715 nucleotides) under Carica papaya (papaya). RNAcentral's name for it is "long non-coding RNA (CPAP_LNC004381)". Lineage: Eukaryota; Viridiplantae; Streptophyta; Magnoliopsida; Brassicales; Caricaceae. The record is from RNAcentral.